AACGAACGCUGGCGGCAUGCCUAACACAUGCAAGUCGAACGAGACCUUCGGGUCUAGUGGCGCAUGGGUGCGUAACGCGUGGGAACCUGCCCUUAGGUUCGGAAUAACUCCCCGAAAGGGGUGCUAAUACCGGAUAAUGUCUUCGGACCAAGGAUUUAUCGCCUUUGGAUGUGCCCGCGUUGGAUUAGCUAGUUGGUAGGGUAAAAGCCUACCAAGGGGACGAUCCAUAGCUGGUCUGAGAGGAUGAUCAGCCACACUGGGACUGAGACACGGCCCAGACUCCUACGGGAGGCAGCAGUGGGGAAUAUUGGACAGUGGGCGAGAGCCUGAUCCGGCAAUGCCGCGUGAGUUAUGAAGGCCUUAGGGUUGUCAAGCUCUUUUACCCGGGAUGAUAAUGACGGUACCGGAAGAAUAAGCACCGGCUAACUCCGUG
RNAcentral lists this ribosomal RNA (433 nucleotides) under uncultured bacterium. RNAcentral describes it as "partial 16S ribosomal RNA". It matches the Rfam family "Bacterial small subunit ribosomal RNA", at positions 29 to 507 of the family's 1533-position model. The record is from RNAcentral.